Molecule: small nucleolar RNA, 126 nt
Filed under: Hippocampus comes (tiger tail seahorse)
Lineage: Eukaryota; Metazoa; Chordata; Actinopteri; Syngnathiformes; Syngnathidae
Description: Small nucleolar RNA SNORA71 (ENSHCOG00000009539.1)
Rfam family: Small nucleolar RNA SNORA71
About the family: The members of this family belong to the H/ACA class of snoRNAs which bind a number of proteins (including dyskerin, Gar1p and Nop10p) to form snoRNP complexes. This class of snoRNAs are thought to guide the sites of modification of uridines to pseudouridines by forming direct base pairing interactions with substrate RNAs. This family includes U71 (SNORA71), ACA39 (SNORA39) and ACA60 (SNORA60).
Source: RNAcentral
CCCUGUAUCGAAAGUGACCUCGGCUUGAUAGUGGCCCGAUCAUCGAUAGUACAGGAAAAGCAUGCGGAGGGCCUUUCCCGUGUCCGCUGGACGACCAUUCCAGCCGGACCCUGGCGCCCUCCCACA